GCCGGGCGCGGUGGCGCGCGCCUGUAAUCCCAGCUACUCGGGAGGCUGAGGCUGGAGGAUCGCUUGAGCCCAGGAGUUCUGGGCUGCAGUGCGCUAUGCCGAUCGGGGGUCCGCACUAAGUUCGGCAUCAAUAUGGUGACCUCCCGGGAGUGGGGGACCACCAGGUUGCCUAAGGAGGGGUGAACCGGCCCAGGUCGGAAACGGAGCAGGUCAAAACUCCCGUGCUGAUCAGUAGUGGGAUCGCGCCUGUGAAUAGCCACUGUACUCCAGCCUGGGCAACAUAGCGAGACCCUGUCUCUU
RNAcentral lists this signal recognition particle RNA (300 nucleotides) under Sus scrofa (pig). RNAcentral describes it as "Metazoan signal recognition particle RNA (ENSSSCG00025068477.1)". It matches the Rfam family "Metazoan signal recognition particle RNA". Rfam says of the family: The signal recognition particle (SRP) is a universally conserved ribonucleoprotein. It is involved in the co-translational targeting of proteins to membranes. The record is from RNAcentral. Lineage: Eukaryota; Metazoa; Chordata; Mammalia; Artiodactyla; Suidae.